Molecule: ribosomal RNA, 1415 nt
Filed under: bacterium NLAE-zl-P786
Lineage: Bacteria
Description: bacterial SSU rRNA
Rfam family: Bacterial small subunit ribosomal RNA
Source: RNAcentral
GGCUACCAUGCAGUCGAGGGGCAGCAUGGUCUUAGCUUGCUAAGGCCGAUGGCGACCGGCGCACGGGUGAGUAACACGUAUCCAACCUGCCGUCUACUCUUGGACAGCCUUCUGAAAGGAAGAUUAAUACAAGAUGGCAUCAUGAGUCCGCAUGUUCACAUGAUUAAAGGUAUUCCGGUAGACGAUGGGGAUGCGUUCCAUUAGAUAGUAGGCGGGGUAACGGCCCACCUAGUCUUCGAUGGAUAGGGGUUCUGAGAGGAAGGUCCCCCACAUUGGAACUGAGACACGGUCCAAACUCCUACGGGAGGCAGCAGUGAGGAAUAUUGGUCAAUGGGCGAGAGCCUGAACCAGCCAAGUAGCGUGAAGGAUGACUGCCCUAUGGGUUGUAAACUUCUUUUAUAAAGGAAUAAAGUCGGGUAUGNAUACCCGUUUGCAUGUNCUUUAUGAAUAAGGAUCGGCUAACUCCGUGCCAGCAGCCGCGGUAAUACGGAGGAUCCGAGCGUUAUCCGGAUUUAUUGGGUUUAAAGGGAGCGUAGAUGGAUGUUUAAGUCAGUUGUGAAAGUUUGCGGCUCAACCGUAAAAUUGCAGUUGAUACUGGAUAUCUUGAGUGCAGUUGAGGCAGGCGGAAUUCGUGGUGUAGCGGUGAAAUGCUUAGAUAUCACGAAGAACUCCGAUUGCGAAGGCAGCCUGCUAAGCUGCAACUGACAUUGAGGCUCGAAAGUGUGGGUAUCAAACAGGAUUAGAUACCCUGGUAGUCCACACGGUAAACGAUGAAUACUCGCUGUUUGCGAUAUACGGCAAGCGGCCAAGCGAAAGCGUUAAGUAUUCCACCUGGGGAGUACGCCGGCAACGGUGAAACUCAAAGGAAUUGACGGGGGCCCGCACAAGCGGAGGAACAUGUGGUUUAAUUCGAUGAUACGCGAGGAACCUUACCCGGGCUUAAAUUGCAGAUGAAUUACGGUGAAAGCCGUAAGCCGCAAGGCAUCUGUGAAGGUGCUGCAUGGUUGUCGUCAGCUCGUGCCGUGAGGUGUCGGCUUAAGUGCCAUAACGAGCGCAACCCUUGUUGUCAGUUACUAACAGGUUCCGCUGAGGACUCUGACAAGACUGCCAUCGUAAGAUGUGAGGAAGGUGGGGAUGACGUCAAAUCAGCACGGCCCUUACGUCCGGGGCUACACACGUGUUACAAUGGGGGGUACAGAGGGCCGCUACCACGCGAGUGGAUGCCAAUCCCAAAAACCUCUCUCAGUUCGGACUGGAGUCUGCAACCCGACUCCACGAAGCUGGAUUCGCUAGUAAUCGCGCAUCAGCCACGGCGCGGUGAAUACGUUCCCGGGCCUUGUACACACCGCCCGUCAAGCCAUGGGAGCCGGGGGUACCUGAAGUGCGUAACCGCGAGGAGCGCCCUAGGAAACUGU